AAAUUGAAGAGUUUGAUCAUGGCUCAGAUUGAACGCUGGCGGCAGGCCUAACACAUGCAAGUCGAACGGUAACAGGAAACAGCUUGCUGUUUCGCUGACGAGUGGCGGACGGGUGAGUAAUGUCUGGGAAACUGCCUGAUGGAGGGGGAUAACUACUGGAAACGGUAGCUAAUACCGCAUAAUGUCGCAAGACUAAAGAGGGGGACCUUCGGGCCUCUUGCCAUCGGAUGUGCCCAGAUGGGAUUAGCUAGUAGGUGGGGUAACGGCUCACCUAGGCGACGAUCCCUAGCUGGUCUGAGAGGAUGACCAGCCACACUGGAACUGAGACACGGUCCAGACUCCUACGGGAGGCAGCAGUGGGGAAUAUUGCACAAUGGGCGCAAGCCUGAUGCAGCCAUGCCGCGUGUAUGAAGAAGGCCUUCGGGUUGUAAAGUACUUUCAGCGGGGAGGAAGGGAGUAAAGUUAAUACCUUUACUCAUUGACGUUACCCGCAGAAGAAGCACCGGCUAACUCCGUGCCAGCAGCCGCGGUAAUACGGAGGGUGC
This 545-nucleotide ribosomal RNA is filed under the name Shigella sonnei. RNAcentral's name for it is "bacterial SSU rRNA". It matches the Rfam family "Bacterial small subunit ribosomal RNA", at positions 1 to 535 of the family's 1533-position model. Lineage: Bacteria; Pseudomonadati; Pseudomonadota; Gammaproteobacteria; Enterobacterales; Enterobacteriaceae. The record is from RNAcentral.